This 729-nucleotide ribosomal RNA is filed under the name Candidatus Tremblayella phenacoccinincola. RNAcentral describes it as "bacterial SSU rRNA". It matches the Rfam family "Bacterial small subunit ribosomal RNA", at positions 658 to 1382 of the family's 1533-position model. Lineage: Bacteria; Pseudomonadati; Pseudomonadota; Betaproteobacteria. The record is from RNAcentral.
GGGAUAGAAUUCCAGGAGUAGCGGUGAAAUGCGUAGAUAUCUGGAGGAAUACCAAAGGCGAAGGCAGUCCCCUGGUCCGAUACUGACACCGAGGUACGAAAGCGUGGGGAGCAAACAGGAUUAGAUACCCUGGUAGUCCACGCCCUAAACGAUGUCGAUUAGCCAUUGGAAGGACCCCUUUUCCUUUCAGUGACGUAGCUAACGCGUUAAAUCGACCGCCUGGGAAGUACGACCGCAAGGUUAAAACUCAAAGGAAUUGACGGGGACCUGAACAAGCGGUGAAUGAUGUGGAUUAAUUCGAUGCUACGCGAAGAACCUUACCUACCUUUGACAUGGCCAAAGUUCUACCGAGAGGCGGAAGUACUCGUAAGAGGAUUGGCGCACAGGUGCUGCAUGGUUGUCGUCAGUUCGUGUCGUGAGAUGUUGGGCUCAGUCCCGCAACGAACGCAACCCUUAUCUUUAAUUGCUCCUAUUUUAACAGGCACUUUAAAGAAACUGCCAAUGAUAAGUUGGAGGAAGGUGGGGAUCACGUCAAGUCCGCAUGGCCUUUAUAGGUAGGGCUUCACACGUCAUACAAUGGUUAGAACAAAGAGCUGCAAAUUCGUAAGAAGGAGCCAAUCUCACAAACCUAACCUCAGUUCGAAUUGCGGUCUGCAACUCGAGCGCAUGAAGCCGGAAUCGCUAGUAAUCGUGGAUCAGAAUGCCACGGUGAAUACGUUCUUAGGUCUU